AUAUCAAUAAGCGGAGGAAAAGAAACCAACAGGGAUUGCCUCAGUAACGGCGAGUGAAGCGGCAACAGCUCAAAUUUGAAAUCUGGCUCUUUCAGGGUCCGAGUUGUAAUUUGUAGAGAUGCUUCGGCGUCGAGGCUCCGGUCUAAGUUCCUUGGAACAGGACGUCAUAGAGGGUGAGAAUCCCGUAUGUGACUGCGGUGCCCUUCGCCUAUGUGAAGCUCCUUCGACGAGUCGAGUUGUUUGGGAAUGCAGCUCUAAAAUGGGUGGUAAAUUUCAUCUAAAGCUAAAUAUCUGGCCAGAGACCGAUAGCGCACAAGUAGAGUGAUCGAAAGAUGAAAAGCACUUUGGAAAGAGAGUCAAACAGUAC
This 367-nucleotide ribosomal RNA is filed under the name uncultured fungus. RNAcentral's name for it is "eukaryotic LSU rRNA". It matches the Rfam family "Eukaryotic large subunit ribosomal RNA", at positions 40 to 398 of the family's 3401-position model. The record is from RNAcentral. Lineage: Eukaryota; Fungi.